CACUAUUUAAUCUGUGUUAUCUACCUUAACUUUAGAAGUUUCAAUCAGUGUAUCUCCAAGUAAACUACGGCCCAAACUACAGAUGUCCUGGCCGCUAUUUUUUAUGCUUUUAGGUGUUUCCUUGUUGGUAUUCACAAGCGAUGGCGAUUGCAGUUGUAACGAAAUGUGCAGAAAACAAGAAAACGAUAAACCGUUUUCUGAAUUUAUCACUGACCUAAAGCCAAAAAGAUUUAAAAGGAACGAAGGAGAGAUCACCUAUUGCACGAUGUGUCUACUUCACAAGUUCUUGAGGCGGGCAGCAGCUGCAGCAUGAUAGUUAUCAAUCCAGAGGAGAAAAAGGAUCAAAUAAAACAACUGAAAUGAAAUGAAACUAAUCGUUUGUUUGUUGAUUAACUUCCCUCUCUAGAAUUUUUCACUCAUAUGGAGACAUCACCACUUACCGGUGGAGAUCUGCAAAUUUUGUCCCAUAC
Molecule: long non-coding RNA, 470 nt
Organism: Saccostrea cuccullata (small rock oyster)
Lineage: Eukaryota; Metazoa; Mollusca; Bivalvia; Ostreida; Ostreidae
Exons: 3
Source: RefSeq, a predicted model, not a curated record